RNAcentral lists this long non-coding RNA (578 nucleotides) under Homo sapiens (human). Its description in RNAcentral is "HSALNT0298117". Lineage: Eukaryota; Metazoa; Chordata; Mammalia; Primates; Hominidae. The record is from RNAcentral.
CCGGGCUACUCGGGCCACGCAGCUGGAACCUGGAAAUUAGGAUUGGAAUCCUGAACUCCUAAAUCCAAACUACAGACUGGAAGUUACCAAAAAAUGUCACAGUGGUUCCUUGAUCAGGAGGCGAAGGAGGCGGUCUAGAGGGAAGAGCACUUUGGUCAAAGGAUCAGGUGCAUAAAUGCGGAGGAAUGAGGAUGCCCGGCUUGCUGGAGGAUCAAGGGAAGUCCAGAUGGCCUGCAGGAGCCAAGAAGUCUGGAGCAGCCAAAAAAACACAAAAGAAGUGCAACAAAAGAAGCUCCUGCCUUGACUGAUUGACCAGCCUUACGACGUUCCACCAUUAUGAAUUGUUCCUGUCCUGCCCCAACUGAUCAAUCGACCUUGUGACAUUCUUCUUCUGGACAAUGAAUCUUAUGAUCUCCCCACCAUGGACCCUGUGACCCCCUCCUCUGCUGACAAUAGAUAACCACCUCUAACUGUAACAUUCCACUGCCUACCUCAGUCCUAUAAAGCUGCCCCUCUCCUAUCUACCUUCGCUGACUCUCUUUUCGUACUCAGCCCACUUGCACCCAAGUGAAUAAACA